RNAcentral lists this long non-coding RNA (346 nucleotides) under Gossypium raimondii (Peruvian cotton). RNAcentral describes it as "long non-coding RNA (GRAI_LNC010318)". The record is from RNAcentral. Lineage: Eukaryota; Viridiplantae; Streptophyta; Magnoliopsida; Malvales; Malvaceae.
UAUUAUUCAAAUUUAAUCUAAUUCAAUUAUUAUGUUGUGAAAAAUAAAUUAAACUUUAAAUUAAUCUGAUCAAAAUGACUAAAAAUUAAAUUUAAUCACUCUAAUUAAAAUAAUUAUUCAAAUUGAUCACUACUAUUAACAGAUUGCUAAGGUUUUUUAUUAUUAUUAAAAUUAGAAACCUCUAUAUAAUUAGUUCAAAAACACUUCAAAUUUAUCCUUAAACAAUACAAGAAAAUAAAAAAAUAAAAAAAAAACUCCAAAUCCAACACAAUGGAACACUCAAUUAGGUGAAGAUCAUUGGUACUAAACCAAGCCUUAAAAAGCACAACUAUUUCAAACAAACCCC